CGAGAAGCGAGCCUGCGAAGGCAAGCGGAUCUCUUAAAGCUGUUCUCAGUUCGGACUGCAGUCUGCAACUCGACUGCACGAAGCUGGAAUCGCUAGUAAUCGCGGAUCAGCACGCCGCGGUGAAUACGUUCCCGGGCCUUGUACACACCGCCCGUCACACCAUGGGAGUUUGUAACGCCCAAAGUCGGUGGCCUAACCUUUAUGGAGGGAGCCGCCUAAGGCGGGACAGAUGACUGGGGUGAAGUCGUAACAAGGUAAC
Molecule: ribosomal RNA, 259 nt
Filed under: uncultured bacterium
Lineage: Bacteria
Description: partial 16S ribosomal RNA
Rfam family: Bacterial small subunit ribosomal RNA
Source: RNAcentral